GGUUAUAGCUCAGUGGUAGAAUGCUUGCCUGGCAUGUACAAGAACCUGGGUUCUAUCCCCAGAACUG
This 67-nucleotide transfer RNA is filed under the name Marmota monax (woodchuck). RNAcentral describes it as "tRNA.Ala". Lineage: Eukaryota; Metazoa; Chordata; Mammalia; Rodentia; Sciuridae. The record is from RNAcentral.